CAAUAGUUAUGACUCCAUCUUUGGUUGUCCAAAUAAAAUUAGUCUGCUUUCUAUCCAUCAUUCUUUGAUAUAACAUCUGUUGCACAUAAUUGUUGGUACUUGGUCAUUGAAAAUAUCAAACAAGAUAGAUAAACUUAUGGUCACUGGCCAUGCCUCUAUUUAUGAUGCAAAUGACAAAGUGCCAACGAAUGGUCUCUGCUCAGGCAUUGCCAUUGAUCAGGUUGUGCCAAUAUCACCUAGUUUGCUAUUGGCCUAAAAGAUUGUAUCUUAACCUUGAAAGGUUAUACAUUUAUAUAAUAUGCAAAGAAAAGUUUCAGCAUUUUCUUGACAUCAUCUGCAUUUGGGACUAUCAGUAAUCCCAAUUAAGUGAAGAUAUCUCAUAUGAUGACAAUUCUCUGUAAGGAGC
This 406-nucleotide long non-coding RNA is filed under the name Androctonus crassicauda. Lineage: Eukaryota; Metazoa; Arthropoda; Arachnida; Scorpiones; Buthidae. The record is from RNAcentral.